This 706-nucleotide ribosomal RNA is filed under the name Botryosphaeria dothidea. RNAcentral's name for it is "eukaryotic LSU rRNA". The stretch from base 163 to 316 matches the Rfam family "5.8S ribosomal RNA". Lineage: Eukaryota; Fungi; Ascomycota; Dothideomycetes; Botryosphaeriales; Botryosphaeriaceae. The record is from RNAcentral.
UCGGCCGAUCCUCCCACCCUUUGUGUACCUACCUCUGUUGCUUUGGCGGGCCGCGGUCCUCCGCGGCCGGCCCCCCUCCCCGGGGGGUGGCCAGCGCCCGCCAGAGGACCAUCAAACUCCAGUCAGUAAACGAUGCAGUCUGAAAAACAUUUAAUAAACUAAAACUUUCAACAACGGAUCUCUUGGUUCUGGCAUCGAUGAAGAACGCAGCGAAAUGCGAUAAGUAAUGUGAAUUGCAGAAUUCAGUGAAUCAUCGAAUCUUUGAACGCACAUUGCGCCCUUUGGUAUUCCGAAGGGCAUGCCUGUUCGAGCGUCAUUACAACCCUCAAGCUCUGCUUGGUAUUGGGCACCGUCCUUUGCGGGCGCGCCUCAAAGACCUCGGCGGUGGCGUCUUGCCUCAAGCGUAGUAGAACAUACAUCUCGCUUCGGAGCGCAGGGCGUCGCCCGCCGGACGAACCUUCUGAACUUUUCUCAAGGUUGACCUCGGAUCAGGUAGGGAUACCCGCUGAACUUAAGCAUAUCAAUAAGGCGGGAGGAAACGAGUUGAUUCGGGCUCCGCCCGAUCCUCCCACCUUGUGUACCUACCUCUGUUGCUUUGGCGGGGCCGCGGUCUCCACGGCCGGCCCCUCCCCGGGGGGUGGCGCGCCGCAGAAGACAUCAAUUCAGUCAUAAAGAAGGAUUUGAAAAACUUUAGAACAAAAAUUCA